Molecule: long non-coding RNA, 1147 nt
Filed under: Homo sapiens (human)
Lineage: Eukaryota; Metazoa; Chordata; Mammalia; Primates; Hominidae
Description: HSALNT0369337
Source: RNAcentral
UGGUGGUGAUUUCCAAUUUGAAGUGUGAACUUAAACCAAAGGUCUUCUAGUCAUCCUGGUUGUUCACAGUCCAGGAGCUCCUGCUCUCAUGUCCCAUGCCCUGCAUUUGAUGGCAUCACAAGGAGUGAGGAUCAGGGAGGUUGAGCCAUCACCUGACUGGUCACAGAAGGCUGGUAUAGGUGCUGUCCUCCCAAGUCUAGCUGCAGUCUACUCACACUGCCUCCUCACUUCAUCACAUCUACCUCUCACCCCAGACUCACCACACUCCAGUUAACCGAAUGACUUUGGCAGCCAAGGUCCAGUCUUUAGGCAGAUAAGGAAACUUCAAAGAACAACUUCAUCCUGUUUUGGGGGCCGGGGAGAACAGAAGAUUGAGAGAUGGGAAUGGGGAAUCAAAAAGACCUUGAGGCUUCUUCAGUUCAGCAUGUCAAUGCACCAUAGUUUGAAGUAUCUGUUUCCGAGCCCCAAUAGCACCUAACAAGAUACCCACGAACAGAGUUCUAUCAUUUAACACCUACUGUGUAUGGAGAGGAGCCAGGGAUACUUGCUUUGAAGGGUAUUCUAGAUGGCAUUGAAUAGCCCUGUGGCAUAAAUAAAGAAUUUACCUUCUCUCUGGGCAACUUCUACAAAACUGGAUCAUUAUUCCUAACACAAAUUUCUCCUGCUAUUAUAUAUGAUCUUCUUUAAUAUUCAAAAGAAUGAAUAACAGAUGUUUCCAGUAAAGAAUAUUGGAGAAGGAUUACCUCAUGAUGACCAUGUGCUAGAUUCCUGUUUAAAAAUCCCUAUUUCCAGACCAUUUCAUAUGGAAAAACCACAUCAACAAGAAAAUUAGUUUCCUCAGAAGAGAGGGUUAUAUCCAACAGGAGACAACGCCAAAGAACUGCAAAGAUGAUAAGAAGGUAGGGAAACCUCUAUUUUGAAACUCUUGAAAUGUAUGUUGGUCAUCACUAUAUAGAGAAAGUAGUUGUCUGGGACACAUGAGUUAAGAGGUAAAUGAAGACUCAUGUCUAAAACUAUCUUUCCCAUCUGCUGAAAAUUCGUUUCACUUCAGUACAGUCCAUGAGACUCAUUCCUUUGAGUUACAAAGUUUUGUCUUAACAAAACACAAAUGCAAAGAGAAGCAAUGUAGUAAAUCCUAGGAAUUAUU